GGAAAGUUGGCUGAGUGGUCGAUAGCGGCGGUCUUGAAAACCGUUGACCUUCACGGGUCCGGGGGUUCGAAUCCCUCACUUUCCGCCA
This 88-nucleotide transfer RNA is filed under the name Bacteroidales bacterium. Its description in RNAcentral is "tRNA-Ser". It matches the Rfam family "tRNA". Rfam says of the family: Transfer RNA (tRNA) molecules are approximately 80 nucleotides in length. Their secondary structure includes four short double-helical elements and three loops (D, anti-codon, and T loops). Lineage: Bacteria; Pseudomonadati; Bacteroidota; Bacteroidia; Bacteroidales. RNAcentral also lists the same sequence under 1 other name. The record is from RNAcentral.